This 1974-nucleotide long non-coding RNA is filed under the name Heterocephalus glaber (naked mole-rat). RNAcentral describes it as "lncRNA (ENSHGLG00100047886.1)". Lineage: Eukaryota; Metazoa; Chordata; Mammalia; Rodentia; Bathyergidae. The record is from RNAcentral.
GGGAGCUUAUAGAUAUAUGAUAAAAGAAAUGAGGAGAAGAAAGAAGGCUAAUAUAAGGGAGGCACAUUCACAUCUUUUCUGGAAGAGAUGGCUAGAAUUUUCUUGGAAUUUGGGUGCCACAUCAUCACUUUUUUGGUUUUCUGGUUGUCAUGACACUCGCCAAUUACUAUGGCACUGAAGGGAGAGUUACUGAGCAUGCAGAUGGGAUUAUAGUGAAGUUAGACAUUCUCUGGCAGGCUCUCUGGCAAGCAUCUUAGACUCAGCCAAUUUUGGUGAGCCCACCAACCUCUGGCCCUCAGGGAUCCUGAUCUCAAAGUCAAGAUUAGGGCAAGAAACUCAGCUAGGUCAAGUAGGCAGAACAAGAUUCAGGCAGGGAACACUGGCACAGCUCUGCCCUGGAGGAGUCUCUGGAGGUGCCUGAGGGAGUUAGAAUUAGUUUCACAGAGCAGGAAAGUCUGUGGAGGAAAUCAAUUGGCAGCACCAAGGCAACCUGGAGAGGCUUCCAGUAGCUGGUACAUGGACUCAUCCAGAGUGAGUACUGGAGCCAACAUUUGCUGGAACUAGGCCAGUCACAGAACCAUAUACCCACUAGUCACAACCCAAAGAUGAAGCGGAAACUCAGGAUUUCUACUUAGCCUUACUUCGGCACAGAUGACAUUGCUAAGCAUAGUCAGAGAUGUUGAUCCCUAAGAAACAUCUCACACUCCAAAGUCUGCACGGUCCCUGCUUCUGGAAAAACCUGUCUACAAUACCUUCAUUUCAUCACUCCCAACUCCACUUGUGUCAACUGGAACAUGAACAAAGCUGCACUCAACCCCUCCACUGUUUGCAGGAGAUUCAAACCAGAGCCAGUAGGAAAGAGAACAAGUCUUCCUCAUUCCUAUUUUCCCUUCUAUGUGGAUGCAACCCCAGCAGCUAGAACACUCUUGGCUUUUCUCUCUCCACUCACUCCCUCCUCCCUGAAAGGGUAAAUGCGGAGGUGUGGCCCAGCUCGUUCCUUUUUUUGGAGAGGAGUUGCACACAGAAACCACAUGUUCUUCCUCAUACCCAGUGGCUGUCAGUUUUCCAGAGACAACCCGUGAUUGAGAGAGUCCUUCAGUGGCCAGUGCUGAACUGGCUGAGUGUCCAAUUCUGUGGCUUAGUUUUGAGAAGCCCAUCUGCCUGCAGACAUAAGUCACAUUCCCAAUGUCUGGUUUAUCAGUAGGAAAAGAUGUCAUGUUCACCACCAGCUGCUGACAUUCAUUCUAUGUCAUACGGUUUAAGGACUCAGACAAGAAAGAAGAUAAUCAUUAGUGAAAUUCUACCAAACCCCCUUACCUCCACAGAAAGCUCCAGCUCUGUGGCAAGGUCAGUGCGGGGUAGAACCCAGCAAGGGCAGCGAGCAUGCUGGGCUAGGAAGUGCCCUGCUUAGAUGUCCUACCCAGACACAAGCUGCAGGGAGCAUAGCUGACUAGCAACCUUGGAGUUUCCCCUCUGUAUCUACCCAGACACUGUCACUGUCACUGUCAGUAGGACCAGGUUUUCUCCCAUCAGACAACACAGUGUAGCAGGAAUGCUAAGGCCAGGCCAGUCCUGCCUGUGCAGGUUUCAUUCAACAGGCAGCUUUGUCUAAAGGAUUCCCCACCAGCCUGGUCCCCAUUUUCUUGGACCACAUUGCAGCCCAAGCCUCUCUCUUCUUACUCAAAACUGUCUCUCUUCUUCCACCCAUGUUAGAUCAGCAUGGUGGUCUGAAGGCUCUUCCUGCCUACAACUGCUCAUUUCUCCCUCACAGUACAGUAUAAGGCAUCUCCCCAUAUCAUGAUGUCUAAUUCAUCUGGUGUCCCAUUCUUGAAGAUUCUGGACUGGCAGAGAAUGUAACUUCCCAAAGCAGAACAAUGGAGGAGCAUCAGGGCUGUGUUGAUCCUAGCUUUUUGAUGCUAGAAUCCUGCUUUGGGUGGCCCAUUUGUAAGGCAAUUCCAGAAAUCUGGGCACUCA